Molecule: ribosomal RNA, 253 nt
Filed under: uncultured bacterium
Lineage: Bacteria
Description: partial 16S ribosomal RNA
Rfam family: Bacterial small subunit ribosomal RNA
Source: RNAcentral
UACGUAGGGUGCAAGCGUUGUCCGGAAUUAUUGGGCGUAAAGAGCUCGUAGGCGGUCUGUCACGUCGGCUGUGAAAACCCGAGGCUCAACCUCGGGCCUGCAGUCGAUACGGGCAAACUAGAGUACUGCAGGGGAGACUGGAAUUCCUGGUGUAGCGGUGAAAUGCGCAGAUAUCAGGAAGAACACCCGUGGCGAAGGCGGCUCUCUGGGACGGUACUGACGCUGAGACGCGAAAGCGUGGGGGGCGAACAGG